GACACGAUAGCCAAGAUGGUUACGGCGAUUGACUAGAAAGUACAGCUCGAAAUCAAAUGGGAUUUUCCCGCACAGGUUCGAAUCCUGCUCGUGUCG
Non-coding RNA from Borealophlyctis nickersoniae, 96 nucleotides. NCBI's taxonomy places the organism in Eukaryota, Fungi, Chytridiomycota, Chytridiomycetes, Rhizophlyctidales, Borealophlyctidaceae. The record is from the annotation of a GenBank genome assembly.